Molecule: ribosomal RNA, 527 nt
Filed under: uncultured Bacillus sp.
Lineage: Bacteria; Bacillati; Bacillota; Bacilli; Caryophanales; Bacillaceae
Description: bacterial SSU rRNA
Rfam family: Bacterial small subunit ribosomal RNA
Source: RNAcentral
GACUAGGAUAACUCCGGGAAACCGGGGCUAAUACUGGAUAACUUUUCUCUCCGCAUGGAGAGAGAUUGAAAGAUGGCUUCGGCUAUCACUUACAGAUGGACCCGCGGCGCAUUAGCUAGUUGGUGAGGUAACGGCUCACCAAGGCAACGAUGCGUAGCCGACCUGAGAGGGUGAUCGGCCACAUUGGGACUGAGACACGGCCCAAACUCCUACGGGAGGCAGCAGUAGGGAAUCUUCCGCAAUGGACGAAAGUCUGACGGAGCAACGCCGCGUGAGUGAAGAAGGUCUUCGGAUCGUAAAACUCUGUUGUUAGGGAAGAACAAGUAUCGUUCGAAUAGGGCGGUACCUUGACGGUACCUAACCAGAAAGCCACGGCUAACUACGUGCCAGCAGCCGCGGUAAUACGUAGGUGGCAAGCGUUGUCCGGAAUUAUUGGGCGUAAAGCGCGCGCAGGCGGUCUUUUAAGUCUGAUGUGAAAGCCCACGGCUCAACCGUGGAGGGUCAUUGGAAACUGGAAGACUUGAGUG